CGGUAACAGAAGAAGCUUGCUUCUUGCUGACGAGUGGCGCACGGGUGAGUAAUGUAUAGCUAACAUGCCCUAUAGAGGGGGAUAGCCACUGGAAACGGUGAUUAAUACCCCAUACUCCUUCUUUAUUAAUUAAAGUUGGGAAAGUUUUUCGCUAUAGGAUUGGGCUAUAUUGUAUCAGUUAGUUGGUGGGGUAAUGGCCUACCAAGACAAUGACGCAUAGCGGGUCUGAGAGGAUGAUCCGCCACACUGGAACUGAGACACGGUCCAGACUCCUACGGGAGGCAGCAGUGGGGAAUAUUGCACAAUGGAGGAAACUCUGAUGCAGCAACGCCGCGUGGAGGAUGACGCAUUUCGGUGUGUAAACUCCUUUUAUAUAGGAAGAUAAUGACGGUACUAUAUGAAUAAGCACCGGCUAACUCCGUGCCAGCAGCCGCGGUAAUACGGAGGGUGCAAGCGUUACUCGGAAUCACUGGGCGUAAAGCGCGCGCAGGCGGUUAAAUAAGUUAGAAGUGAAAUCCUACAGCUCAACUGUAGAACUGCUUCUAAAACUGUUUAACUAGAGUCUGGGAGGGGAAGAUGGAAUUAGUAGUGUAGGGGUAAAAUCCGUAGAGAUUACUAGGAAUACCAAAAGCGAAGGCGAUCUUCUGGAACAGUACUGACGCUGAGGCGCGAAAGCGUGGGGAGCAAACAGGAUUAGAUACCCUGGUAGUCCACGCCCUAAACGAUGAAUGUUAGUCGUUGGGAGACUAGUUCUUUCAGUGAUGCAGUUAACACAUUAAACAUUCCGCCUGGGGAGUACGGUCGCAAGAUUAAAACUCAAAGGAAUAGACGGGGACCCGCACAAGUGGUGGAGCAUGUGGUUUAAUUCGAAGAUACGCGAAGAACCUUACCUAGCCUUGACAUUGAUUGAAUCCUGUAGAGAUACGGGAGUGCCUUCGGGAACAUGAAAACAGGUGCUGCACGGCUGUCGUCAGCUCG
This 978-nucleotide ribosomal RNA is filed under the name uncultured bacterium. RNAcentral's name for it is "bacterial SSU rRNA". It matches the Rfam family "Bacterial small subunit ribosomal RNA", at positions 67 to 1062 of the family's 1533-position model. The record is from RNAcentral.